AGAGCGAACGCUGGCGGCAGGCCUAACACAUGCAAGUCGAGCGCCCCGCAAGGGGAGCGGCAGACGGGAGAGUAACACGUGGGAACGUACCCUUUGGUUCGGAACAACACAGGGAAACUUGUGCUAAUACCGGAUAAGCCCUUACGGGGAAAGAUUUAUUGCCAAAGGAUCGGCCCGCGUCUGAUUAGCUUGUUGGUGAGGUAACGGCUCACCAAGGCUACGAUCAGUAGCUGGUCUGAGAGGAUGAUCAGCCUCACUGGGACUGAGACACGGCCCAGACUCCUACGGGAGGCAGCAGUGGGGAAUAUUGGACAAUGGGCGCAAGCCUGAUCCAGCCAUGCCGCGUGGAUGAUGAAGGCCCUAGGGUUGUAAAGUCCUUUCGACGGGAAGAUAAUGACGGUGCCCGUAGAAGAGCCCGGCUAACUCGUGCCAGCAGCCGC
This 440-nucleotide ribosomal RNA is filed under the name uncultured bacterium. RNAcentral describes it as "SSU rRNA". It matches the Rfam family "Bacterial small subunit ribosomal RNA", at positions 26 to 518 of the family's 1533-position model. The record is from RNAcentral.